CAUAGCGGGUAUUGCCUCAGUUACGGCGAGUGAAGCGGCAAAAGCUCAAAUUUGAAAUCUAGCACUUUCAGUGUUCGAGUUGUAAUUUGAAGAAGGUAACUUUGGUUUUGGCUCUUGUCUAUGUUCCUUGGAACAGGACGUCACAGAGGGUGAGAAUCCCGUGCGAUGAGAUGCCCAAUUCCAUGUAAAGUGCUUUCGAAGAGUCGAGUUGUUUGGGAAUGCAGCUCUAAGUGGGUGGUAAAUUCCAUCUAAAGCUAAAUAUUGGCGAGAGACCGAUAGCGAACAAGUACAGUGAUGGAAAGAUGAAAAGAACUUUGAAAAGAGAGUGAAAAAGUACGUGAAAUUGUUGAAAGGGAAGGGCUUGAGAUCAGACUUGGUAUUUUGCGUUCCCUUCCUUUUUGGUUGGGUUCCUCGCAGUUUACUGGGCCAGCAUCGGUUUGGAUGGUAGGAUAAUGACAUUGGAAUGUAGCUUUACUUCGGUGAAGUGUUAUAGACUUUGUUGAUACUGCCUAUCUAGACCGAGGACUGCGUCUUUGACUAGGAUGCUGGCGUAAUGAUCUUAAGCCGCCCGUCUUAACGGGGGGCCCAAAAAAAAAAUAUGUAGUGGUUAAAUAAUACCUUAAUUAAUUUUUCCCCUUCUUUUUUUUGGAAGGCUUUGGGAAAGUGGGGAGCGGGGGGGG
RNAcentral lists this ribosomal RNA (680 nucleotides) under Dujonia zeylanoides. RNAcentral describes it as "[Candida] zeylanoides partial large subunit ribosomal RNA". The stretch from base 1 to 580 matches the Rfam family "Eukaryotic large subunit ribosomal RNA", at positions 66 to 664 of the family's 3401-position model. Lineage: Eukaryota; Fungi; Ascomycota; Pichiomycetes; Serinales; Debaryomycetaceae. The record is from RNAcentral.